This 443-nucleotide ribosomal RNA is filed under the name uncultured bacterium. RNAcentral's name for it is "partial 16S ribosomal RNA". It matches the Rfam family "Bacterial small subunit ribosomal RNA", at positions 338 to 795 of the family's 1533-position model. The record is from RNAcentral.
CCUACGGGAGGCAGCAGUGAGGAAUAUUGGUCAAUGGACGCAAGCCUGACCCAGCAACGCCGCGUGAAGGAAGAAGGCUUUCGGGUUGUAAACUUCUUUUCUCAGGGACGAAGAAAGUGACGGUACCUGAGGAAUAAGCCACGGCUAACUACGUGCCAGCAGCCGCGGUAAUACGUAGGUGGCAAGCGUUAUCCGGAUUUAUUGGGUGUAAAGGGCGUGUAGGCGGGAGCGCAAGUCAGAUGUGAAAACUCAGGGCUCAACCCUGAGCCUGCAUUUGAAACUGUGUUUCUUGAGUGCUGGAGAGGUCAUCGGAAUUCCUUGUGUAGCGGUGAAAUGCGUAGAUAUAAGGAAGAACACCAGUGGCGAAGGCGGAUGACUGGACGGCAACUGACGGUGAGGCGCGAAAGCGUGGGGAGCAAACAGGAUUAGAUACCCCGGUAGUC